GUAGGGUACAGGGUUAGGGCUAGAUGAAGGUGGUAGGGUACAGGGUUAGGGCUAGAUGAAGGUGGUAGGGUACAGGGUUAGGGCUAGAUGAAGGUGGUAGGGUACAGGGUUAGGGCUAGAUGAAGGUGGUAGGGUACAAGGUUAGGGCUAGAUGAAGGUGGUAGGGUACAGGGUUAGGGUUAGAUGAAGGUGGUAGGGUACAGGGUUAGGGUUAGAUGAAGGUGGUAGGGUACAGGGCUAGAUGAAGGUGGUAGGGUGCAGGGUUAGGGCUAGAUGAAGGUGGUAGGGUACAGGGUUAGGGCUAGAUGAAGGUGGUAGGGUACAGGGUUAGGGCUAGAUGAAGGUGGUAGGGUACA
Molecule: long non-coding RNA, 356 nt
Organism: Oncorhynchus tshawytscha (Chinook salmon)
Lineage: Eukaryota; Metazoa; Chordata; Actinopteri; Salmoniformes; Salmonidae
Source: Ensembl